CGCCGCCUGGCGGGCCGGAGCCGCCCGCGCGCCUCCUCACGGCCGCCGUAUCGAACACAAACAAAUAAACAAACAGCAAAACACGGAAAAAGGGGGAAAAAAAGUGGUUUCUCCACGCGAGCCUAACUCCAGGAGCUGGAGCUUAGCGGAGGUGGCCACGGGAGCAGACAUACGGUGUUGUCAGCAGCGCCGGCCUGAGAGCGGCCUGUCCGGCGGGGCGGGGAGUGCUUAAGCCUUUUUGGUUCACUCCUUAUGUUUACUCAGAAACCAUGAAAUUGGAGUUAUGGAGGUUGAUAUUAUUCCAAGAAUAAAAAAUGAAAUGCAUGGAAUUAAGGUCUAAGUAAUAUGCCAGAUUUCAUGGAAUUCAUGGUUCUGGACUGUAAAAAUAAAAACAGCAGAGGAACUCCAGACUGCUUUUUAAAGACUGCUUUUUGAAGACAUUUUCCACCGUCUCAGUGGCAGCUGUUGUCACAGGAUUGUUAAGAUUGGAAGAAACCUCUUGAGGUCAUCUGGUUUGGCCAUUCUUAGAAUAAAAAGAUUUUUUUCUUCUCUUUGGAUGGAAUCCCUUGUAUUACAGUUUAUCCUAAGAGUGGGCACCACUGAGAACAGCCUGACUCCCUUUUCUUCAUUCCCUCCCUUCAGAUAUUUAUAUACACUGAUUAGAUCCUCCUGAAGGAGGCUGUGACCCCAUGGGAAGCCCAAGGUGGAGCAGGCUCCUGUCAGGACCUGUGGACCCAUGAAAAGAAGAGCCCACGCUGGAGCAGGUUUGCUGGCAGGACUUGUGACCCCUUGGAGGACCCACACCGUAGCAGUCUGUUCCUGAAGGACUGCAUCCCAUGGGAAGGACCCACACUAGAGCAGUUUGUGAAGAACUGUAGCCUGUGGGAAGGACUUACAUUGGAGAAGUUCACAGAGUUCAUGUCUCUCAUGGGAGGGGCCCUACACUGGAGCAGGGGAAGAGUGUGAAGAAUCCUUCCUGGAGGAGGAAGGAGCAGCGGAGACAACAUGUGAUGAACCGACCACAGCCCCCAUUUCCCCUGCCCCUGAGCCACUGACAGGGAGGAAGUAGAGAAUUUGAGACUAAAGUUAAGUUCAGAAAGAAGGGACGGGGGGGGAAAGUGUUUUAAGAUUUGUUUUUAUUUCUCAUUAUCCUACUCUGAUUUGAUUGGUAAUAAAUGAAACUAAUUGCCUCAAGUCACAUCUGGUUUUCCCAUGAUGGUAACUGCUGAGUGAUCUCUCCCUGUCCUUAUCUUGACCCCUGAGCCUUUUGUUAUAUUUUCUCUCCCCUGUCCAGCUGCAUAAGGGAGUGAUAGAGUGGCUCAGUGGGCACCUGGUAUCCAGCCAAGGUCAACCCACCAUUAUGUGGAGGUAAAAAUCAUGUUGUGGGAGAAGUCUUAGGGAAUGGAGUUUUAAAAAAUGGAGAAAAAAAAUGAAGUGGAGUUCACAGAAUCCUAAUUGUAUAGUCAAAAUUUGAUAUUUCAAUUCAAGUGCCAUAUAAUAAACUCAGAUCUGUUUGCUGCAGAUUUCAAAUCUCAGAAAUCAGCUAUGACUUCUUUAAACCUUUCUUCCUCUCCUUGCAACAAAUUUUAUUUAAUGAAAUCAGGAAUCUAGACUUUUUAAAGCCAGGCAUUCUAGUUCCAUGUAGUAAAAAACCUUAUGAAAUGAAGUAUGAAAUACCUAAUGAAGGAAAAUAUGUGUGCCAAUGAAUUAAAUAUGCUUGUAUAAAACUCUGAUUAUUCUGCAAUGGGCUAUGAGGUGUGUAUGUUACAUGACAAGAAUGCAGCUUUCAGGUUUCUGAGGCAAUAAUCUUUUAAAAGAUUGGAAAGCAGAAUGCACAGAAAUAAAAGUCACGUUUUGUAACUAUUGAA
Molecule: long non-coding RNA, 1868 nt
Organism: Pipra filicauda (Wire-tailed manakin)
Lineage: Eukaryota; Metazoa; Chordata; Aves; Passeriformes; Pipridae
Exons: 2
Source: RefSeq, a predicted model, not a curated record